UUAAAUAUAUGUUAAAUUUGUCACGCUAACUAUUAACUCUAAAAGCUUUCGUUGUUAGAAAUAUACAACCGAUUCACUUAAGAUAUACAGACACAGCGUUCAUGGAUCUCAAUUGUGACUCGCUCUAAUCAACCUCUUGAAGUGUUGCACUUCAAACAUGACUUGAUCCAACCCAACCUCUUGCCACAGGGUAAAAUACUGGUCUCUUUAAAUCAGCAACCCUAGAAUCUAACAUGUCAUAAAUUUAUAAUUAGGGCAUGUUUGGAUGGACAGUAAAAAAUCUCCACAGUAAAUUAAAAAAAUUAAAAUUUGAAAUUUAUUAUUUGUAAACUAAAAUUUAAAAUUUGAUAUUCGAAAAUUAAAAUUUGAAUUUAUAAAAUUAAAAAAUUUAAAAUUUAAAAUUUGACUUUUAAAUUUUGAAAUUAUAAAAUUUAAUUUUUGAUAUUUAAAAUUUAAAAUUCAAAUUUUAAAUUUGCAAUUAAAAAUUUGAAUAUAAAUUAAAUUGUAAAAUUUAAAAUUUAAAAUUUAAAAUUUGAAAUCUAUGUUGAAAUUUAAAAUUUUAUGUUGAAAUUUAAAAGUUAGAAUUUGAUGCAUCUUUGCCC
Molecule: long non-coding RNA, 602 nt
Filed under: Ananas comosus (pineapple)
Lineage: Eukaryota; Viridiplantae; Streptophyta; Magnoliopsida; Poales; Bromeliaceae
Description: long non-coding RNA (ACOM_LNC005088)
Source: RNAcentral